Molecule: long non-coding RNA, 1012 nt
Organism: Anser brachyrhynchus (Pink-footed goose)
Lineage: Eukaryota; Metazoa; Chordata; Aves; Anseriformes; Anatidae
Source: Ensembl
GAAUUCACUCCCAUUAACUUCAGAUCUUCUCCAAUUGAGCUGCUUUAUUUCACAGGUUCCGAGCCCUGCUCUUGGGGAAAAAAAAAAAAAAAAAAAAAAGCCUCUCUAUUCUUUUUUGCAUAGUAGUGUAAAAGAAUCCCUAACUACUGAACCAUGAUACAGUCUUUCACUGCAACCAGUUUCUGAGGGAGAAAGCUCUAAAUAAUUAUAAAAGUAUAAUGAACAUUGCUACUAAAUGCUAACUAAAUGCCUCAUUGGAAAAUUUGAAAGGCAUUAAUUCAGACAACAGUUUCUCUUUAUCUCCUAUAUUUCCUGGUUCUAAUUCCUCUUUUUUUUUAUUUAUUAGUAUAGUAAUUUGCAUGAAAGAAGCAUCAUUGUUUCUUUAAUAUUCAUUUCCUUUUUCUCAUUUAGGGCAUCAUUCUGCUUCGCUGAAAACAAUGGCAAUCUUACUGGUUGACUUCAGGAAAGUAGGCCUGACAAUGAGAAAUGUUGGAUGUCUUCAAGCCCCACUGAAGUCAGACGUCCGGUAACAGCCCUCAGAGUCCUUUCAGAUCAGAAUCCCUAAAGUGCAACUUCCUUUGUGUGACUUAACAAUUUGCUAUUGCAUAAGUGCUGAUUACGUCAUAAGGGAUUAUGACUUUAUGCACAGAGUAAGCAACAAAGGUAGAUGGAUUUCUAAGUCCACUCUUUCCCCAGUCCUCUCUUUUCAUGCAAAUAGCUCUGAUUAUACCAAAUAGCAAGAGAAAGCAGAAAAUGCAUGUCACAGAAAAGCAAGGUUAUGUUUGGUGUGUGCCAUGUUCAGAAGGAUUCAUUAAAGAGAAAAAGACUCCAGGAUCAUGGCAGGGAGGUCACGGAUGAAGAGAAUAUUCCUUAGAACCAGAACAACUGAAAAACACCAGUUACCAGUAUUCGUGCUUUUUGAGAAGUAAAUAUUCACUACUAUAAAGAGAGAGCUAUCCAAACAACUCCUUUUCCAGAGCACAAUGUAAGAAAGUAUCAUGGGACAAAAAGC